GACAGGCAUAGUGGUGUGCACUUUUAGUCUCAGCAACUCAGGAGGCUCAGACAGGAGAACUGAUUGAGCACAAGAGUUCUGGGCUAUAGUGUGCUAUGCCAAGUGGGUGUCUGCACUAAGUUUGGCAUUAAUAUGGUAACCUCUUGGGACAGGGAACUACCAGGUUGCCUAAGGAGGAGUGAACUGGUCCAGGCUGGAAAUGGAGCAGGUCAAAAUUCCUAUGCUGAUCAUUAGUGGGAUGGCACCUGUGAAUAGCCACUGCCCUCCAGCCUGGGCAACACAGCAAGACCCCAUCUGUC
This is an unclassified non-coding RNA of Pongo abelii (Sumatran orangutan), 299 nucleotides long. It matches the Rfam family "Metazoan signal recognition particle RNA". From Rfam's summary of the family: The signal recognition particle (SRP) is a universally conserved ribonucleoprotein. It is involved in the co-translational targeting of proteins to membranes. The eukaryotic SRP consists of a 300-nucleotide 7S RNA and six proteins: SRPs 72, 68, 54, 19, 14, and 9. Lineage: Eukaryota; Metazoa; Chordata; Mammalia; Primates; Hominidae. The record is from Ensembl.